GGGGAAUGGGGAAUGGGGAUAAAUAGCAGCAGAGAUGAGGCAGUUGUAAGAAGUCAUAAAUAACAGAAAACAGGGGAGCAGGAGAAAAACCACAAUGCUGAAAAAGGAUGUGAAUGAGGGAAGAAAGUCAAGGAAGAGCUUGGAAGAUCUCCAUGCAUGGGGAAAAAAGAGGACCAUGAAUUAACAAAGAGAAGAGGGAAAAAGAUCUGCUGCAAGCUCCUUGAGAACAGGACCUAUUUCAUCCCUAAUAGUUUAGUGUUAAAUCCCUGAACCCACGAACCUUCCAUAAAUGUAUCUACAGAAUAAAUGUGAGGAAAAAAAAGGCAUCUGAUAUUUGCAUAGUCUCUUCUUACAGAACAUUUGAAAAAAAAAACACAUAAGUGAUAAAGAUAAU
Sarcophilus harrisii (Tasmanian devil) is the source of this 394-nucleotide long non-coding RNA. RefSeq lists it as uncharacterized. Lineage: Eukaryota; Metazoa; Chordata; Mammalia; Dasyuromorphia; Dasyuridae. The transcript is spliced from 3 exons. The record is from RefSeq and is a predicted model, not a curated record.